This 261-nucleotide long non-coding RNA is filed under the name Homo sapiens (human). Its description in RNAcentral is "non-protein coding lnc-EHD3-5:1". The record is from RNAcentral. Lineage: Eukaryota; Metazoa; Chordata; Mammalia; Primates; Hominidae.
ACCCAAACAAAUAUAAGAGGCUAAGAAGCUAACACCAGUACCACAGCUUCUCAGCAUGCCAGUCUGCUAUUUAAGACUGGUGCAAAGUCAAUUUCCUGCAGCAGACAAGAAAGGCCCACACAGGUCUUUGGCAUUUCUGGGCCCCCAGUUUGGAGGCCAGGAGCCCGGGAGUGGAGGAGCUGAGAUUGAGACUGACCUGCUUACUAGGUCUUACCAGGGAGCAUAAGGGCUGCUAUGACUCUAUAAAGGGUCGGUCGUGAG